AUUGAACGCUGGCGGCAGGCUUAACACAUGCAAGUCGAACGGUAACAGGGAGAAACUUGUUUCUCUGCUGACGAGUGGCGGACGGGUGAGUAAUGCUUGGGAAUCUGCCUUAUGGAGGGGGAUAACCACUGGAAACGGUGGCUAAUACCGCGUAAUAUCUUCGGAUUAAAGUGUGGGACUUUCGAGCCACACGCCAUAAGAUGAGCCCAAGUGAGACUAGGUUGUUGGUGAGGUAAUGGCUCACCAAGCUUACGAUCUCUAGCUGGUUUGAGAGGAUGACCAGCCACACUGGGACUGAGACACGGCCCAGACUCCUACGGGAGGCAGCAGUGGGGAAUAUUGCACAAUGGGCGCAAGCCUGAUGCAGCCAUGCCGCGUGAAUGAAGAAGGCCUUAGGGUUGUAAAGUUCUUUCAUUAGUGAGAAAGCGGUUAUAUCUAAUAGGUGUAACCAUUGAUGUUAGCUAAAGAAGAAGCACCGGCUAACUCCGUGCCAGCAGCCGCGGUAAUACGGAGGGUGCGAGCGUUAAUCGGAAUGACUGGGCGUAAAGGGCACGCAGGCGGUUAUUUAAGUCAGAUGUGAAAGCCCCGAGCUUAACUUGGGAAUUGCAUUUGAUACUGGGUAACUAGAGUCCUCUAGGGAGGGGUAGAAUUCCAUGUGUAGCGGUGAAAUGCGUAGAGAUGUGGAGGAAUACCGAAGGCGAAGGCAGCCCCUUGGAGAGAGACUGACGCUCAUGUGCGAAAGCGUGGGUAGCAAACAGG
This 759-nucleotide ribosomal RNA is filed under the name uncultured bacterium. RNAcentral describes it as "bacterial SSU rRNA". It matches the Rfam family "Bacterial small subunit ribosomal RNA", at positions 28 to 776 of the family's 1533-position model. The record is from RNAcentral.